GCUUCUUAAAACAUGUGUGAAUAUGUGUAUAUUAUACAAAGAGUCUUAUAUUGUCUGCUCUGACAAAAAUAAAGUAUUAUUUUAGGUUUAGGGGAAUUGACUGCGUGUGUCUUAUAAAUACAACUUGAUAAUAUGUUUGUUUUGUAAAGAGACUUCUUUAAAGUCACGCAAUAAUAAAAUAUUUUAGUUGUAACUGGUUAAACUUAAAGCCGAUAUUUUCUAUCGAACUAGUCUAUUUUCUGUUCAGACACAAAGUUUUCUGAUGCUGAUAUUAAGUCAGUGUGUGUUUGUGUGGGGGUCGUGUGAUGUAAUCUUUGAAAGUUUAUGACCGAACCUUUAUUGGGGAGCGACAAGAGAUCUCCCGGAAUCAGUUUGGAUGGAGCAGAGCUGUUAUACUCAAGUCUAUUGGUAUGUAUGUGUUUCGCUGUGUUCGUUCCAGUAUUUUGUCUGAUUUAUUUAAAAACUAAAAAUUCGAUCUCUGGUAUUGCAGCGAAAUUGUCUAAACUGGUAUUAACUAUUCCUGGUAAAUCGCGGAGAAGAGUGGCCUGAACAAAAAAGUCAGACCGAGACUAGAACCUCCCGCAGCGUAACACGGAAAUCUUGGAACAAAAGAGACGCCGACUGGCUCGUGUUGUCCGGUUUGGAUAUCAGAGGCAAAGCGAACGUUGUGUGUACUAUUGCAAAAUAUAUAGCGGAUCUCCACGGUUAGGAUACAGACCACAACGCUUUGGAUGUAUCUUUAAAAAAGAUUAAAAUCAGAGACUUUUUGGAUUUGUCUGGGGACAUUUUAAACAUUUUGUGGCAAAUUGGAUUUAAAACAUUUCGGAUACUGGAUACCUAGUUUGAUUUGUCCACAGAGCUUGUUUAAGACGUUUUCACCGCAUUUUAGGGUUUAUUUUUAAUUAAAGGCUUCUUAAAACAUGUGUGAAAAUGUGUAUAUUAUACAAUGAGUCUUAUAUUGUCUGCUCUGACAAAAAUAAAUUAUUAUUUUAGAUUUUA
Paramisgurnus dabryanus is the source of this 999-nucleotide long non-coding RNA. RefSeq lists it as uncharacterized. Lineage: Eukaryota; Metazoa; Chordata; Actinopteri; Cypriniformes; Cobitidae. The record is from RefSeq and is a predicted model, not a curated record.